CCCCCCCCCACCCCACACUGUGUCCUGUCUGGUGCCACACUUUGAGAUUCUGCCAGGCUGGGAAGAACAUUCCUUCUCACCCGAUCCAGGCUGCCAGACAACGGCCGGCCCUCAGACACGAGUCUGACCAUUGCAAACAGGAUGGGGCAGAGGGUACAGCUGCUGAGUAAUGGUGGCUUUGGUUGGAGCCUGUGGUUUUCUGGAUUUAUCUGUGGCCGAAGCCCUGCUGAUUUCAUUCACAGCUUUUCAUUCACCACUUCAGAUGCAGGAAAUGAAGACACGGAGAGAUGAACCUCUUGACCAGAGACGAUCUAAAACGAAAACAAACACAAACAGAGAGCCCUGGCUUGGAGCUCAGGUAGCCUGAUCCUCCUCCAACAGAUGCUCUUAGAGGAGUUUAGAUGCACCAGAAGAGAAGUUUCUGGUCUCCAGGGCUGCCUCCUCCGCCCCAUACGCCCCGGGGCCGCGCCUGCGUUGGCGGGCGGGCGGGAGACCCAGGUGCGGAGGCCCCAGAGGCGUGCACGUGGUCGGCGGGCGCGGAGGCGCUUCCCGGCGUCCCGGAGGGCGCCCGGCUGAUGCAAGGGGAAGGCUGUCCGGACAGCUGA
Molecule: long non-coding RNA, 605 nt
Filed under: Suricata suricatta (meerkat)
Lineage: Eukaryota; Metazoa; Chordata; Mammalia; Carnivora; Herpestidae
Description: lncRNA (ENSSSUG00005013510.1)
Source: RNAcentral